RNAcentral lists this unclassified non-coding RNA (372 nucleotides) under uncultured fungus. RNAcentral's name for it is "sequence contains ITS1". The stretch from base 1 to 105 matches the Rfam family "5.8S ribosomal RNA", at positions 50 to 154 of the family's 154-position model. Lineage: Eukaryota; Fungi. The record is from RNAcentral.
GAAAUGCGAUACUUGGUGUGAAUUGCAGAAUCCUUGAACACAGAACAUUCGAAUGCACAUUGCGCCAUUGGAGUAACAUCCUUUGGCACGCCUGGUUCAGGGUCGUAAUUCAACAGCGCACGGCGAGUGCGUGCAAAGCUGCGCGAUCAGUGUGUGCGCCCAUACCGCUGUUCGUGCAUUGUGUGUGUGAGGCGCCCGUGUGGUGUCGGACUGUGCUGGCAUGGAACUUGUGAGUGUUACGUCCAUGUCUUACCCGCCAGUAACUUGAGCACGGUUCGCGCACUCGCGUGGUAGCCAGACCACGCGAUCGGUCUGACCAACCAACCAACCAAUUUCGACCUGAACUCAGACGUGAACACCCGCUGAACUUAA